RNAcentral lists this ribosomal RNA (315 nucleotides) under uncultured Bacteroidales bacterium. RNAcentral's name for it is "partial 16S ribosomal RNA". Lineage: Bacteria; Pseudomonadati; Bacteroidota; Bacteroidia; Bacteroidales. The record is from RNAcentral.
GGAGUCUGGGCCGUGUCUCAGUCCCAGUGUGGGGGAUCUUCCUCUCAGAACCCCUAGACAUCGUCGCCUCGGUGGGCCGUUACCCCGCCGACUAGCUAAUGUCCCGCGAGCCCAUCCGUAACCACCGGAGUUUUCAAUAUUCCAUCAUGCGGUGAAAUAUGUUAUGGGAUAUUAGACGCCGUUUCCAGCGCUUAUCCCCCUGUUACGGGCAAGUUGCUCACGUGUUACGCACCCUUCCGCCGGUCGCCGCCACUGUAUUGCUACAACGCGCUGCCCCACGACUUGCAUGUGUUAAGCCUGCCGCUAGCGUUCAUC